RNAcentral lists this ribosomal RNA (1299 nucleotides) under Providencia sp. RD1. RNAcentral's name for it is "partial 16S ribosomal RNA". It matches the Rfam family "Bacterial small subunit ribosomal RNA", at positions 1 to 1283 of the family's 1533-position model. The record is from RNAcentral. Lineage: Bacteria; Pseudomonadati; Pseudomonadota; Gammaproteobacteria; Enterobacterales; Morganellaceae.
GUAAGCAGCGUAGAGUUUGAUCCUGGCUCAGAAAUCCUAACAAGGGAACCCUAAAAUUUGAUCCUGGGUCCGAAAUUCUAAUGGGGUGGCCGAAAAUUUUGACCUGGGGACCCUACAGGAAACGGUUGCUAAUACCGCAUAAUCUCUAAGGAGCAAAGCAGGGGAACUUCGGUCCUUGCGCUAUCGGAUGAACCCAUAUGGGAUUAGCUAGUAGGUGAGGUAAUGGCUCACCUAGGCGACGAUCCCUAGCUGGUCUGAGAGGAUGAUCAGCCACGCUGGGACUGAGACACGGCCCAUACUCCUACGGGAGGCAGCAGUGGGGAAUAUUGCACGAUGGGCGCAAGCCUGAUGCAGCCAUGCCGCGUGUAUGAAGAAGGCCCUAGGGUUGUAAAGUACUUUCAGUCGGGAGGAAGGCGUUGAUGCUAAUAUCAUCAACGAUUGACGUUACCGACGGAAGAAGCACCGGCUAACUCCGUGCCAGCAGCCGCGGUAAUACGGAGGGUGCAAGCGUUAAUCGGAAUUACUGGGCGUAAAGCGCACGCAGGCGGUUGAUUAAGUUAGAUGUGAAAUCCCCGGGCUUAACCUGGGAAUGGCAUCUAAGACUGGUCAGCUAGAGUCUUGUAGAGGGGGGUAGAAUUCCAUGUGUAGCGGUGAAAUGCGUAGAGAUGUGGAGGAAUACCGGUGGCGAAGGCGGCCCCCUGGACAAAGACUGACGCUCAGGUGCGGAAGCGUGAAGAGCAAACAGGAUUAUAUACCCUCGUACUCCACGCUGUAAACGAUGUCGAUUUGAAUGUUGUUCCCUUGAGGAGUGGCUUUCGGGAGCAAACGCGUUAAAUCGACCGCCUGGGGAGUACAGCCGCAAGGUUAGAACUCAAAUUGAAUUGACGGGGGCCCGCACAAGCGGUGGUGCAUGUUGAUUAAUUCGAUGCAACCCAACAACCUUAACUUACUCUUGGCAUCCGGAGAAAUUUAGCACAGAUGCUCUGGUGCCUUCCAGGAACUCUGAAACAGGUGCUGCAUGUCUUGUCGUCACUGUGAUGUGAAAUGUUAGGAUUAAGUCCACCACCAGACGCAACUCUUAUCCUUUGUUGCCCAGCGAUUCGGUUCAGAAACUCAAGGAAAACUGCCUGGUGAAUAGAUCGGGUAGAGAAGGGUGGGAGAAUGAACGUUCAAGUCCUCCAUGGGCUCCCGUAACGAGGACUUGCUCCUACACCUGGUGCUACCAUGAGGCGUUAUCACAAAGGAGACCGAGAACCUCGCGGCGAGUCACUAGACAGCACGAACAAACCUCUUAACGAA